GACUGACCAAACAAGUUUGCUAAGCCAAAGAACGUUCUUUGGCUAAGCGCCAUUUCAAGCGAGGACAGUCGUAACAAUGGAUACAGCUCCUUUGCCAAAAGAGGCAUUACAUGAUAGUUCAAAAUUAUCAGAUUUUUAUAACUGCAAGAAGUUCCCGAAGAUGCUGUUAAUGUCCUAAAAGGGUAAAGGCAAAGCAAGUAUUUUAGCAUCAGGCCGUUUUUUAAAAAAAAAAAAACAAAAUCCAAAUUCUGCACUUCUAAUAUUUGCUAAAUGGAAUAGAAGACGUGGAAUCUCUUGGACCAGCUCAGAAUAAACAGCCCAUGAUAGUGUGUAUUACAAGUUCAUUCUAUAUUAAAGCAGUAAAUCACUUAAUAGCAUGCCCAAAUCAUGCCAUGAAGGCAUUUGACAUUCUAUUUAAAACUAAUUUUGUAUUUAGCGUUCAAUAUGCACAUACAUCAACAAAUUUUUAUAAUUUUGUGGCAAGCCUUUUGUAUAAUGUCAGCACUCCUACAGCU
Molecule: long non-coding RNA, 515 nt
Organism: Stegodyphus dumicola
Lineage: Eukaryota; Metazoa; Arthropoda; Arachnida; Araneae; Eresidae
Source: RefSeq, a predicted model, not a curated record